RNAcentral lists this transfer RNA (72 nucleotides) under Thevetia peruviana. Its description in RNAcentral is "tRNA-Gln". It matches the Rfam family "tRNA". Rfam says of the family: Transfer RNA (tRNA) molecules are approximately 80 nucleotides in length. Their secondary structure includes four short double-helical elements and three loops (D, anti-codon, and T loops). The record is from RNAcentral. Lineage: Eukaryota; Viridiplantae; Streptophyta; Magnoliopsida; Gentianales; Apocynaceae.
UGGGGCGUGGCCGAGUGGUAAGGCAACGGGUUUUGGUCCCGGCGGUCGAAGGUUCGAAUCCUUUCGUCCCAG